UUGCUAGUUACCAUCAUUAAUUGGGGACUCUAGCGAGACUGCCAGUGAUAAACUGGAGGAAGGUGGGAUGACGUCAAAUCAUCAUGCCCUUACUGACCUGGGCUACAAACGUGAUACAAUGGCUGAAACAAAGGGCAGCGAAGGAGCGAUCUGGAGCGAAACCCAAAAAAGCAGUCUCAGUUCGGAUUGCAGGCUGCAAUUCGCCUGCAUGAAGUCGGAAUCGCUAGUAAUCGCAGGUCAGCAUACUGCGGUGAAUACGUUCCCGGGCCUU
This 271-nucleotide ribosomal RNA is filed under the name uncultured Acholeplasma sp. Its description in RNAcentral is "partial 16S ribosomal RNA". It matches the Rfam family "Bacterial small subunit ribosomal RNA", at positions 1108 to 1382 of the family's 1533-position model. The record is from RNAcentral. Lineage: Bacteria; Bacillati; Mycoplasmatota; Mollicutes; Acholeplasmatales; Acholeplasmataceae.